Molecule: ribosomal RNA, 873 nt
Filed under: Curtobacterium sp.
Lineage: Bacteria; Bacillati; Actinomycetota; Actinomycetes; Micrococcales; Microbacteriaceae
Description: bacterial SSU rRNA
Rfam family: Bacterial small subunit ribosomal RNA
Source: RNAcentral
UUUACGGUGUGGGUCUAGACCCGAUAGAGUUUGAUCCUGGCUCAGGACGAACGCUGGCGGCGUGCUUAACACAUGCAAGUCGAACGAUGAUGCCCAGCUUGCUGGGUGGAUUAGUGGCGAACGGGUGAGUAACACGUGAGUAACCUGCCCCUGACUCUGGGAUAAGCGUUGGAAACGACGUCUAAUACUGGAUAUGACUGCCGGCCGCAUGGUCUGGUGGUGGAAAGAUUUUUUGGUUGGGGAUGGACUCGCGGCCUAUCAGCUUGUUGGUGAGGUAAUGGCUCACCAAGGCGACGACGGGUAGCCGGCCUGAGAGGGUGACCGGCCACACUGGGACUGAGACACGGCCCAGACUCCUACGGGAGGCAGCAGUGGGGAAUAUUGCACAAUGGGCGAAAGCCUGAUGCAGCAACGCCGCGUGAGGGAUGACGGCCUUCGGGUUGUAAACCUCUUUUAGUAGGGAAGAAGCGAAAGUGACGGUACCUGCAGAAAAAGCACCGGCUAACUACGUGCCAGCAGCCGCGGUAAUACGUAGGGUGCAAGCGUUGUCCGGAAUUAUUGGGCGUAAAGAGCUCGUAGGCGGUUUGUCGCGUCUGCUGUGAAAUCCCGAGGCUCAACCUCGGGCUUGCAGUGGGUACGGGCAGACUAGAGUGCGGUAGGGGAGAUUGGAAUUCCUGGUGUAGCGGUGGAAUGCGCAGAUAUCAGGAGGAACACCGAUGGCGAAGGCAGAUCUCUGGGCCGUAACUGACGCUGAGGAGCGAAAGCGUGGGGAGCGAACAGGAUUAGAUACCCUGGUAGUCCACGCCGUAAACGUUGGGCGCUAGAUGUAGGGACCUUUCCACGGUUUCUGUGUCGUAGCUAACGCAUAAGCGC